AAGAUACUAGUAAAACGCGACAUUACACUGCCUUGUCAAGACAGAAUUGCUGGUUAAACCCCUGCGUAUCUUA
RNAcentral lists this transfer RNA (73 nucleotides) under Leporinus affinis. RNAcentral describes it as "tRNA-Asp". It matches the Rfam family "tRNA". From Rfam's summary of the family: Transfer RNA (tRNA) molecules are approximately 80 nucleotides in length. Their secondary structure includes four short double-helical elements and three loops (D, anti-codon, and T loops). Lineage: Eukaryota; Metazoa; Chordata; Actinopteri; Characiformes; Anostomidae. The record is from RNAcentral.